AGAGUGAUAUGCUUAGAAAAGAGAUUAAGCCAUGCAGAUUUGAAUACAGUAUUAUACAGCGAAAUUGUGAAUGGCUCAUUAAAAUAGUUAUAGACUACACGAUAUUGUUACCUAUAAGGAUAACCGUGGUAACCUAGGGCUAAUACUUGCAUAAAGACCUUCGGGUUGUACUUAUUGGCUAUUACCAAGCGAUUCGCUAGUGGACACACAAUAAUUGAUCGGAGGGGUAUAUGUUACCCCUAAAUCGCUCGUGUUUCUACCCUAUCAACUUGAUUUUAGUGUAUUGGACUAAAAUGGUUUUCACGGGUAACGGAGAAUUGGGGUUCGAUUCCGGAGAAGGAGCCUGAGAAACGGCUACUACGAAUACGUUAGGCAGCAGGCGCGUAAAUUACCCAAUCGAGACACUCGGAGGUAGUUAUUUUCAAUAUGAUACCAGUCCUUCACGGACUAGUUUUCAAAUGGAUUAGCAUUAAAUAUGCUUUUGAAACCUAAAUGAGGACAAGUCUGGUGCCAGCACCCGCGGUAACUCCAGCUCAUUUAGCGUAUCUUUAUGUUGUUGCAGUUAAAAAGCUCGUAGUCGAAUUUCUGGCCAGGAGACGACAAACACACCGUUCGGAUCCUAGGUCAUCCCCCCAUGAUUGCAUAUGGGCCUUCAUUGGAUCCUGUGUUGGAUUGGGGACUUUACUUUGAGAAAAUUAGAGUGUUUCAAGCAGGCUUUCGCUUGGAUACUACAGCAUGGAAUAAUGGAAUAGGUCUGAAUUUAUUUCUUGGUUCGUAAAUUCAGAAAUGAUUAAUAGAAUCAGUUGGGGCCAUUUGUAUUCGUUGGUCAGAGGUGAAAUUCUUCGAUUCAACGAGGACAAACUGAUGCGAAGGCGUCUGGCAAGGAUGUUUUCAUUGAUCAAGAACGAAGGUUGAGGGAUCAAAGACUAUUAGACACAGUCGUAGUCUCAACAGUAAACUAUGCCAUUCCGGGAUUGGAUGAGCAAUAACUCAUUCAGCACCGUGUGGGAAACCAUUGAAACUUUGGGUUCUGGGGGGAGUAUGGUCGCAAGGCUGAAACUUAAAGAAAUUGACGGAAAAUUACCACCAGCAGUGGAGCCUGCGGCUUAAUUUGAUUCAACACGGGAAAACUUACUAGGACAAGAGAGUUGUAGGAUUGUCAAACUAAAAGCUUUUACUUGAUCUGCUCGUUUCUGGUGCAUGGCCGUUCUCAGUUGGUGGAGUGAUUUGUCAGGUUAAUUCCCUUAACGAACGAGACCUUAACCUGCUAACUAGAAGCAGUUAAAUUUUAGCUGUAUUCUUCUUAGAGGGACUACUGCUCCUAAAGCAGUGGAAGUUUGAGGCAAUAACAGGUCCGUGAUGCCGAUAGAUGCCCUAGGCCGCACGCGUGCUACACUGAUAGGUGCAACGAGUUUUAUCCUUGCCUGAGAAGGUUAGGGUAAUCUACAAAAAGCCUAUCGUGCUAAGGAUUGUUCUUUGCAAUUUUGGAACAUGAAUGAGGAACUGCUUGUAAGGAUGAAUCAUUAUCUCGUCCUGAAUACGUCCCUGACUUUUGUACACACCGCCCGUCGCUCCUACCGAUUUUGAGUGAUCCGGUAAACUUUCUGGAUAUUGUGGUUUUAACCGACGAUAGAAGUUACGUGAACCUUAUCACUUAGAGGAAGGAGAAGUCGUAACAAGGUACCGGUAGAGGAAUCUGCUCGGU
This 1705-nucleotide ribosomal RNA is filed under the name metagenome. RNAcentral's name for it is "SSU rRNA". It matches the Rfam family "Eukaryotic small subunit ribosomal RNA". The record is from RNAcentral.